AGGAAGCCGGUGGAAACCCGGCGCGGUCCCGCCACUGUGACCCCGGGCGACCGGGGGAGCCAGACACU
Molecule: non-coding RNA, 68 nt
Filed under: Geodermatophilus nigrescens
Lineage: Bacteria; Bacillati; Actinomycetota; Actinomycetes; Geodermatophilales; Geodermatophilaceae
Source: RNAcentral